Molecule: small nucleolar RNA, 135 nt
Organism: Mastomys coucha (southern multimammate mouse)
Lineage: Eukaryota; Metazoa; Chordata; Mammalia; Rodentia; Muridae
Product: small nucleolar RNA SNORA17
Exons: 1
Source: RefSeq, a predicted model, not a curated record
CCUUCCCCUAGGGGUGUUGCAGGUGUGGCUGCUGUGUCACACAUACAUCAGUAGGUGGCAGAGAGGAGAGAGGCUAUGUUUGUGCUCAGUGUUCAGACCUGUGAACAUCUGAAUGAUUACUAGUAGUCUAACAUU